UACGUAGGUGGCAAGCGUUGUUCGGAAUUAUUGGGCGUAAAGGGCGCGUAGGCGGUUUGUUAAGUCGGCUGUGAAAGCCCGGGGCUCAACCCCGGAGGGUCAGCCGAUACUGGCAGGCUAGAGUACAGAAGAGGUAACUGGAAUUCCUGGUGUAGCGGUGAAAUGCGUAGAUAUCUGGAGGAACACCGGUGGCGAAGGCGGCAUCCUGGACCAACACUGACGCUGAGGAGCGAAAGCCAGGGGAGCAAACGGG
Molecule: ribosomal RNA, 253 nt
Filed under: uncultured bacterium
Lineage: Bacteria
Description: partial 16S ribosomal RNA
Rfam family: Bacterial small subunit ribosomal RNA
Source: RNAcentral